GUCUAUCUAGAUCAGUUGGUAGAGCGCAAGGCUCUUAAUCUUGUGGUCGUGGGUUCCAAGCCCCACGGUGGGCG
RNAcentral lists this transfer RNA (74 nucleotides) under Zea mays. It matches the Rfam family "tRNA". From Rfam's summary of the family: Transfer RNA (tRNA) molecules are approximately 80 nucleotides in length. Their secondary structure includes four short double-helical elements and three loops (D, anti-codon, and T loops). The record is from Rfam by way of RNAcentral. Lineage: Eukaryota; Viridiplantae; Streptophyta; Magnoliopsida; Poales; Poaceae.